Brachypodium distachyon (stiff brome) is the source of this 134-nucleotide non-coding RNA. The record is from Rfam. NCBI's taxonomy places the organism in Eukaryota, Viridiplantae, Streptophyta, Magnoliopsida, Poales, Poaceae.
CAAAUAUUCCCUCCGUCCAGACAUAAGUGACUCAGAUUUGUCUAGAUUCGCAUGUAUCUAUACACUAAAACGCGUAGAUACAUACGAAUCUAGAAAAAUCCGAGUCACUUAUUUCCGGACGGAGGGAGUACAUU